This 447-nucleotide ribosomal RNA is filed under the name uncultured bacterium. RNAcentral describes it as "bacterial SSU rRNA". It matches the Rfam family "Bacterial small subunit ribosomal RNA", at positions 355 to 825 of the family's 1533-position model. The record is from RNAcentral.
UGGGGAAUAUUGGACAAUGGGCGAAAGCCUGAUCCAGCCAUGCCGCGUGAGUGACGAAGGCCUUAGGGUUGUAAAACUCUUUCGUCGGGGACGAUAAUGACGGUACCCGAAGAAGAAGCUCCGGCUAACUUCGUGCCAGCAGCCGCGGUAAUACGAAGGGGGCUAGCGUUGUUCGGAAUUACUGGGCGUAAAGCGCACGUAGGCGGAUUGAUAAGUUAGAGGUGAAAUCCCGGGGCUCAACCUCGGAACUGCCUUUGAUACUGUUAGUCUCGAGUCCGAUAGAGGUGAGUGGAAUUCCUAGUGUAGAGGUGAAAUUCGUAGAUAUUAGGAAGAACACCAGUGGCGAAGGCGGCUCACUGGAUCGGUACUGACGCUGAGGUGCGAAAGCGUGGGGAGCAAACAGGAUUAGAUACCCACGUAGUCCCUGAGCGGGCUGGCAAGGCGCAU